Molecule: long non-coding RNA, 468 nt
Filed under: Bos taurus (domestic cattle)
Lineage: Eukaryota; Metazoa; Chordata; Mammalia; Artiodactyla; Bovidae
Description: long non-coding RNA NONBTAT020595
Source: RNAcentral
GGGUGCAUAAAAUUCUUUAUUUAUAACAAUAAAGUAUAUGUAUAUAUAAUGUAAUUUCAAAUUCAAACCUGUAUAAAAAAGGGUCAGAACAUAUACCUAUUUUAAAAAGUACACAUACAGUACAUACACAUACACAUCACAUUUUACAACUUUUUUUAUUUAAUUAAACUUCAGUCAUAAUAAAACUAUAGAAUAGUGUUGAAAGACAUUUACAUUACAAUAUGCAAACUCCAAUCUAUGACUGAACUAGCAAUAUAUCUAUACAUCCAUCUAAAUGUCUGAAUACUUUAAGUCCAUUGAUUUAAAAAAAAAACAGUGGCAAGUGGACACUAUAAUCACACAUUAAUCCUUAGAAUAUAGGAGAAUAGGAUGUUUUGAUUGGAAACUUUUAUUGAGUCACAGCUCAGAAAUUAAGCAACUGAAAAUACUAUGGUUUUUAGUUUAAACAAUGUUAUUUAAAAAAAUACA